GCCACCCUAGCUCAGCCGGUAGAGCGGAGCUUUCGUAAAGCUCAGGUCACGGGUUCGAGUCCCGUGGGUGGCU
RNAcentral lists this transfer RNA (73 nucleotides) under Phycisphaerae bacterium. RNAcentral's name for it is "tRNA-Thr". It matches the Rfam family "tRNA". Rfam says of the family: Transfer RNA (tRNA) molecules are approximately 80 nucleotides in length. Their secondary structure includes four short double-helical elements and three loops (D, anti-codon, and T loops). Further hydrogen bonds mediate the characteristic L-shaped molecular structure. tRNAs have two regions of fundamental functional importance: the anti-codon, which is responsible for specific mRNA codon recognition, and the 3' end, to which the tRNAs corresponding amino acid is attached (by aminoacyl-tRNA synthetases). tRNAs cope with the degeneracy of the genetic code in two manners: having more than one tRNA (with a specific anti-codon) for a particular amino acid; and 'wobble' base-pairing, i.e. permitting non-standard base-pairing at the 3rd anti-codon position. Lineage: Bacteria; Pseudomonadati; Planctomycetota; Phycisphaerae. The record is from RNAcentral. RNAcentral also lists the same sequence under 1 other name.